This 440-nucleotide ribosomal RNA is filed under the name uncultured bacterium. RNAcentral describes it as "partial 16S ribosomal RNA". It matches the Rfam family "Bacterial small subunit ribosomal RNA", at positions 338 to 795 of the family's 1533-position model. The record is from RNAcentral.
CCUACGUGUGGCAGCAGUGGGGGAUAUUGCACAAUGGGGGAAACCCUGAUGCAGCGACGCCGCGUGAGUGAAGAAGUAUUUCGGUAUGUAAAGCUCUAUCAGCAGGGAAGAAAAUGACAGUACCUGACCCAGAAGCCCCGGCUAACUACGUGCCAGCCGCCGCGGUAAUCCGUAGGGGGCAAGCGUUAUCCGGAUGUACUGGGUGUAAAGGGAGCGUAGACGGUUAUGGAAGUCUGGAGUGAAAGCCCGGGGCCCAACCCCGGGAGUGCGUUUGAAACUGUGUAACUUGAGUACAGGAGGGGCAGGCGGAAUUCCUGGUGUAGAGGGGAAAUGCGUAGAUAGCAGGAGGAACACCGGCGGCGAAGGCGACCGGCUGGACUGAAACUGACGUUGAGGCUCGAAAGCGUGGGGAGCAAACAGGAUUAGAUACCCGGGUAGUC